RNAcentral lists this transfer RNA (85 nucleotides) under Hominicoprocola fusiformis. RNAcentral's name for it is "tRNA-Leu". It matches the Rfam family "tRNA". From Rfam's summary of the family: Transfer RNA (tRNA) molecules are approximately 80 nucleotides in length. Their secondary structure includes four short double-helical elements and three loops (D, anti-codon, and T loops). Further hydrogen bonds mediate the characteristic L-shaped molecular structure. tRNAs have two regions of fundamental functional importance: the anti-codon, which is responsible for specific mRNA codon recognition, and the 3' end, to which the tRNAs corresponding amino acid is attached (by aminoacyl-tRNA synthetases). tRNAs cope with the degeneracy of the genetic code in two manners: having more than one tRNA (with a specific anti-codon) for a particular amino acid; and 'wobble' base-pairing, i.e. permitting non-standard base-pairing at the 3rd anti-codon position. Lineage: Bacteria; Bacillati; Bacillota; Clostridia; Eubacteriales; Oscillospiraceae. The record is from RNAcentral.
GCGGGCAUGAUGAAAUUGGCAGACAUGCGAGAUUUAGAUUCUCGUGCCGCAAGGCGUUGGGGUUCAAGUCCCCAUGCCCGCACCA